This 23-nucleotide non-coding RNA is filed under the name Arabidopsis thaliana (thale cress). Lineage: Eukaryota; Viridiplantae; Streptophyta; Magnoliopsida; Brassicales; Brassicaceae. The record is from RNAcentral.
UACUGUACAUCAUCAACUGGAGA